RNAcentral lists this ribosomal RNA (563 nucleotides) under Pristimantis platydactylus (flat-fingered robber frog). Its description in RNAcentral is "partial 16S ribosomal RNA". It matches the Rfam family "Bacterial large subunit ribosomal RNA", at positions 1817 to 2597 of the family's 2925-position model. Lineage: Eukaryota; Metazoa; Chordata; Amphibia; Anura; Strabomantidae. The record is from RNAcentral.
CGCCUCUUGCAACCAUAAGAGGUCCAGCCUGCCCAGUGAUCAUAUUCAACGGCCGCGGUAUUCUAACCGUGCAAAGGUAGCGUAAUCACUUGUUUUCUAAAUAAAGACCAGUAUGAAAGGCAUCACGAAGACUCAACUGUCUCCUUUCUCCAAUCAGUGAACCUAAUCUCCCCGUGAAGAAGCGGGGAUCCUAAUAUAAGACGAGAAGACCCUGUGGAGCUUAAAACAUCAUAACAAUUGCCACCACCUUCAACCAUUCAGAUAUCUCUCUCAUCGGCACCCUAAUUAUAUGUUUUUGGUUGGGGUGACCGCGGAGAAAAACUAAUCCUCCACAAUGAAAGGAAUUUCUCAUCCUAAACAACAAGUUACAACUUUAUGUAUCAAAAAAUUGACAUUCAUUGACCCAAUAAAUUGAUUAACGAACCAAGUUACCCCGGGGAUAACAGCACAAUCCACUUCAAGAGCCCCUAUCGACAAGUGGGCUUAUGACCUCGAUGUUGGAUCGGGAUAUCCUAGUGGUGCAGCCGCUACUAAAGGUUCGUUUGUUCAACGAUUAAAAUCCC